GGGCGGGUAGCUCAGCCGGGAGAGCGCCACGCUUACACCGUGGAAGUCACAGGUUCGAUCCCUGUCCCGCCUACCA
This 76-nucleotide transfer RNA is filed under the name Smithella sp. Its description in RNAcentral is "tRNA-Val". It matches the Rfam family "tRNA". Rfam says of the family: Transfer RNA (tRNA) molecules are approximately 80 nucleotides in length. Their secondary structure includes four short double-helical elements and three loops (D, anti-codon, and T loops). The record is from RNAcentral. Lineage: Bacteria; Pseudomonadati; Thermodesulfobacteriota; Syntrophia; Syntrophales; Smithellaceae.